RNAcentral lists this ribosomal RNA (252 nucleotides) under uncultured bacterium. Its description in RNAcentral is "partial 16S ribosomal RNA". It matches the Rfam family "Bacterial small subunit ribosomal RNA", at positions 524 to 776 of the family's 1533-position model. The record is from RNAcentral.
UACGGAGGAUGCGAGCGUUAUCCGGAUUUAUUGGGUUUAAAGGGUGCGUAGGCGGGUUAUCAAGUCAGCGGUAAAAUCGUGGAGCUCAACUCCAUCCAGCCGUUUAAACUGAUGAUCUUGAGUGGGCGAGAAGUAUGCGGAAUGCGUGGUGUAGCGGUGAAAUGCAUAGAUAUCACGCAGAACUCCGAUUGCGAAGGCAGCAUACCGGCGCCCGACUGACGCUGAAGCACGAAAGCGUGGGUAUCGAACAGG